CUAGCUUCACCUCAUUUGACUGUACAGUCAGGCCUGUUCGUGGGCCUCCAUAGAGACCUAAUUUAGGCCUCACUCAAAAGUAGCAAACCACUUGUUCAAGCUUUAAACCCAGAUAUUUUUAUUACUAAUUUUUCCAACUGUUAUUGGAAGCCUCCAUUUGCUUUCAGGCCUCAUGAUCAGGCUUUAAGCCCUUGCCAGUCAGGCAGACAUAUUGUCUCCUUCACACUCAGUCUCAGGCAGCCAUUUUAGGUUUUCCUUAACUUUCAGUGGGGCAGCCAUAUUGUCUCCUUCACUUUUGUUCUUAGACAUUUUUGGUUCUCUUUACCUUGCUGAGGAGCAGCUACAGUAGAGUCUUGCUUAUCCAACCUUCGCUUAUCCAAUGUUCUGUAUUAUCCAAUGCAGUCUGCCUCCCGUCUGGAUCCACAGCUGUUUCUCUAGGCAGCAAGGACUGAAGGUUUUAUGGAUAUAACUUCCGACAAUGUUGUUACUGGCUGUGAGGAAGAGAUCAGGAAACGGUAUAAAGAAAAUACCUGGAUAUUAAUGCCAUUAAGUACUGGACUAAUGCUACUUGAACAGACACCAUGGGAGGAUUGAGAGUCAGGCAGCCUUCCAAAUGCUGUUGGAUUGCAGCAUCCAGCAUUCUUCACCACUGGCUAUACUAAUGCAAGCUGAUGGAAUUUGCUGACAACGUCUGAAGAGCUACAUCAUUUCCACCACUGAAAAGGUGGACCUUGAGUAGGCAUUUCUAUACAGGUUUACAUAUUUGUAUUUUACUAACUUUAAAAAUGAAACAUCAAGCAAUCAGUGAACAGCAACAAAACUUUAAAAGCAACCAAGUUGUAAUUACCGAAACUAAACAGGGUAUUAGAAAAAAAUGCAACAGCCUUUGCUUGUAUUAAAAUAUUGAAAGUUCAGCAUAACCCUUUAAUAAAAAGAUUGAAAUACCAA
Anolis carolinensis (green anole) is the source of this 948-nucleotide long non-coding RNA. RefSeq lists it as uncharacterized. Lineage: Eukaryota; Metazoa; Chordata; Lepidosauria; Squamata; Anolidae. The transcript has 3 exons. The record is from RefSeq and is a predicted model, not a curated record.